Long non-coding RNA from Oncorhynchus keta (chum salmon), 328 nucleotides. RefSeq lists it as uncharacterized. The transcript is spliced from 3 exons. Lineage: Eukaryota; Metazoa; Chordata; Actinopteri; Salmoniformes; Salmonidae. The record is from RefSeq and is a predicted model, not a curated record.
CUCACCAAAUGAACCAAACAGAGAUACAGUCACGUGGGUCUCCUGUCUUUCAUGAGCUCACCAAAUGAACCAAGGUCUCCUGUCUUUCAUGAGCUCACCAAAUGAACCAAACAGAGAUACAGUCACGUGGGUCUCCUGUCUUUCAUGAGCUCACCAAAUGAACCAAACAGAGAUACAGUCACGUGGAUCUCCUGUCUUUCAUGAGCUCACCAAAUGAACCAAACAGAGAUACAGUCACGUGGGUCUCCUGUCUUUCAUGAGCUCACCAAAUGAACCAAGGUCUCCUGUCUUUCAUGAGCUCACCAAAUGAACCAAGACAUGAUUGUUC